RNAcentral lists this unclassified non-coding RNA (239 nucleotides) under Hevea brasiliensis (rubber tree). Lineage: Eukaryota; Viridiplantae; Streptophyta; Magnoliopsida; Malpighiales; Euphorbiaceae. The record is from RNAcentral.
GGCACCUCCUCAUUUCAGAGUGUGGCUGACAAAUCCAUUACUCGAUUUUAUUUUGAAUUUUCUUCAUCAUGGCCCCGUACUCCCAAUUGGAUAUCUUUGUUUGGAAAUGACACAUUCUACUCAAGCUUUGCCCGAAUUUUUAAACGUUUAGUACAGGAAUGUGGUGCUCCUGUUAUACUGGCACUAAAAGAUGCAUUAGCAGACUACAUAAAUGCAAAGGAGAGGACAAAGCAGUGUGU